Molecule: long non-coding RNA, 1817 nt
Organism: Cyprinus carpio (common carp)
Lineage: Eukaryota; Metazoa; Chordata; Actinopteri; Cypriniformes; Cyprinidae
Exons: 3
Source: RefSeq, a predicted model, not a curated record
AGACAGAGAAAUUUUCAUUUGCAGCUGAACACAUCAAGGCUUGCAUUGUCUUGUUAUCUAACUCAGAAUGCAUUUCUCUUUCAGGACUCUCUAUGUUGCUGUUCCAUUGUCAGCCGAGCCGUUCACCCAUUGUGAGGGAGUGUGUUUACCGUGGUAACUUCAAUGAACACAAUCCAGUGACUCAAGAGCCGAAUGAACACGUGUGACUCAGGGAGACGCCAUCUCUAAUUACUCAGGCUGUGACUCAUCCCAGACAAUAUUUGUUCUGAGAACCCGACGUGCCGCUCUGUGGCAAACCAAUGUACGACGCACAGCUCCAAGACGGAUGACAGCAGUGGCAUUUCUGGACAUGAUCCUAAAUCAUACUUAUGACACCAUCCGUCUAAGAGCCGCCGCAGCUCAGGCUGAACCUGUCAUUUAAUGAAGAUACAUUAAGGCAUUUUUCUAUGGACUGUGUGUCUAGAAACUGAACUGCCAUAUCGCCAGUGAGUCUGCAGUUUUAAGGACGUCCCAUCAGUGAGGGGCAAAGAAGCAGAACUUCCUGGAUCUGAGGUGUAGAUUCAUAACUAAAUCAUCCAGCAUUCCCACAAGAUCAUCCUGUACAAUUCGCCUGGAGCAGUGUUGACAGACCUGGCCAAACGGAAGUCUGCUGGGGAAAUCUGCUGUUUUACCACAUCAGUUAGAGCACGCUAGCGUCUGGGGUAUUUCGUGUCCUCCGGCAAGCCCAGGCCCCAUCCGUUAAACACACUGACGGGCGUCUGGGCCCCUGCGGGAUUAGCAACUUUGCACUUGAAUGCCACUAUCUACACUUUAUACGGUCCAACUACAUUAUUCACAGUGCUCAUUAACAGUCCCGAUUAUUCCAGAUUUCACAUCGCCUGUAAAAUGCCAGGCUGAGUCAAAUGCCAUGAGCUGAAUUCUUAAGUCUCCUCUACACAAGACGAGUAAUUUGGAAAAAUAGAUCCGCAGCCCGGCUUGCCAAGACGGCGCUGUGAAUGUCAGAUUUAUUGACCUUCACAGAUACACGCCAUUCCGGUUCUUCAGCUCGGAUUAUGCAUUUAGAAGAGUUUAGAUCUGUUGAUCUUGUGAAAUUGUCCCAUUCAAGGUGAACGCCUGAAUUUGGCUAAUGCAGAAUAACUUCGGAGUAAAAUUCCAGUGAGCUCCUGUAAGAUGGAGUUUCUUGAGUCUUCAGCAGGCUGUUUUUGUCAGUUCAGCCCUGCUAGAAACACCUCAUUACAUGAAAUCUCUCAGAGAGGUAGAAGAGAUGUUUACAAUCAGUUUUGUACCAAAUACAUGAAGUAAAGCCAAAAUUUUUCCCCACCAUAAUACAAAAAGGCGUCAUGCAAAUCCUUGUCAUGACUCAUAUGUCUAAACAUUUCCUUCAUGUUUUGAUUGAACUCUUUCUGACCUAUAGUAGCCCUCUAACAGACAGAAAGCGAAUUAGUGUACAUGCACCUAAAUCAAAUCAUUCCAAACCAUGGUGUCCGGCACACAGCGUACCGCUCAAGUCAUCAUCAAUGUCACAUGCUUCAAAUGUGUUGUUGUCUUUUAGAAAUACAGUGCUGUGCGUUUCUGAUGGAGCCAGAUGGCUGGCAUGUUGCAUUGGCAGAAUAUGCAUCCAAUAUGUUCCAAACAGGGAUUUAUGCCAGAUAAUGGAAUAUUUCCCUGCCUGUCCAUCUAAGAGCGGCUUAAAGACCAGACCUGACUAGACAUUCAUUAGGAAACACCCAUCAAAAGCAUGUCCACAGUCGAUGUGAGCCAAACACUGAUGAACAAUAACAGAGAAAGAGCGUAAACAUCCGUCACCUUACCUGCCU